CCUACGUGUGGCAGCAGUGGGGAAUAUUGGACAAUGGGCGAAAGCCUGAUCCAGCCAUGCCGCGUGUGUGAAGAAGGCCUUCGGGUUGUAAAGCACUUUCAGUGGGGAAGAAAGCCUUGGGGCUAAUACCCUCGAGGAAGGACAUCACCCACAGAAGAAGCACCGGCUAACUCCGUGCCAGCAGCCGCGGUAAUACGGAGGGUGCGAGCGUUAAUCGGAAUUACUGGGCGUAAAGCGCGCGUAGGCGGUCUGAUAAGCCGGUUGUGAAAGCCCCGGGCUCAACCUGGGAACGGCAUCCGGAACUGUCAGGCUAGAGUGCAGGAGAGGAAGGUAGAAUUCCCGGUGUAGCAGUGAAAUGCGUAGAGAUCGGGAGGAAUACCAGUGGCGAAGGCGGCCUUCUGGACUGUCACUGACGCUGAGGUGCGAAAGCGUGGGUAGCAAACAGGAUUAGAUACCCCAGUAGUC
RNAcentral lists this ribosomal RNA (465 nucleotides) under Vreelandella stevensii. RNAcentral's name for it is "partial 16S ribosomal RNA". It matches the Rfam family "Bacterial small subunit ribosomal RNA", at positions 338 to 795 of the family's 1533-position model. The record is from RNAcentral. Lineage: Bacteria; Pseudomonadati; Pseudomonadota; Gammaproteobacteria; Oceanospirillales; Halomonadaceae.